RNAcentral lists this transfer RNA (85 nucleotides) under Candidatus Nitrosopelagicus sp. RNAcentral describes it as "tRNA-Ser". It matches the Rfam family "tRNA". Rfam says of the family: Transfer RNA (tRNA) molecules are approximately 80 nucleotides in length. Their secondary structure includes four short double-helical elements and three loops (D, anti-codon, and T loops). Further hydrogen bonds mediate the characteristic L-shaped molecular structure. tRNAs have two regions of fundamental functional importance: the anti-codon, which is responsible for specific mRNA codon recognition, and the 3' end, to which the tRNAs corresponding amino acid is attached (by aminoacyl-tRNA synthetases). tRNAs cope with the degeneracy of the genetic code in two manners: having more than one tRNA (with a specific anti-codon) for a particular amino acid; and 'wobble' base-pairing, i.e. permitting non-standard base-pairing at the 3rd anti-codon position. The record is from RNAcentral. Lineage: Archaea; Thermoproteati; Nitrososphaerota.
GUCGAGAUAGCCAAGCUUGGUCCAAGGCGGACGCCUCGAAAGCGUUUGUGCUCUGCACACGGGGGUUCAAAUCCCUCUCUCGGCG